CCUGGUUGAUUCUGCCAGUAGUCAUAUGCUUGUCUCAAAGAUUAAGCCAUGCAUGUCUAAGUAUAAGCAACUUUGUACUGUGAAACUGCGAAUGGCUCAUUAAAUCAGUUAUAGUUUAUUUGAUGGUUUUUGCUACAUGGAUAACUGUGGUAAUUCUAGAGCUAAUACAUGCAUUCAAGCCCCGACUUCUGGAAGGGGUGUAUUUAUUAGAUAAAAAUCAACUUUGUUGGUGAAUCAUAAUAACUUCUCGGACCGCAUGGCCUCGUGCUGGCGGUGCUUCAUUCAAAUAUCUGCCCUAUCAACUGUCGAUGGUAGGAUAGAGGCCUACCAUGGUUGCAACGGGUAACGGGGAAUAAGGGUUCGAUUCCGGAGAGGGAGCCUGAGAAACGGCUACCACAUCCAAGGAAGGCAGCAGGCGCGCAAAUUACCCAAUCCCAACACGGGGAGGUAGUGACAAUAUGUAACAAUAUACGGCCUUAUACGUCGUAUAAUUGGAAUGAGUACAAUUUAAAUCCCUUAACGAGGAACAAUUGGAGGGCAAGUCUGGUGCCAGCAGCCGCGGUAAUUCCAGCUCCAAUAGCGUAUAUUAAAGUUGUUGCAGUUAAAAAGCUCGUAGUUGGACCUUGGACCUGGACAGGCGGUCCGCCUCACGGCGAGUACUGUCUUGCUGGGUCUUUCCUCUUGGUGAUCUGUUGUUUCGGCAGCAGGGAACCAGGACCUUUACUUUGAAAAAAUUAGAGUGUUCAAAGCAAGCUCGACGCCGGAAUAUAUUAGCAUGGAAUAAUAAAAUAGGACGUGCGGUUCUAUUUUGUUGGUUUUUGG
RNAcentral lists this ribosomal RNA (822 nucleotides) under uncultured fungus. Its description in RNAcentral is "SSU rRNA". It matches the Rfam family "Eukaryotic small subunit ribosomal RNA", at positions 3 to 854 of the family's 1831-position model. Lineage: Eukaryota; Fungi. The record is from RNAcentral.